Molecule: ribosomal RNA, 258 nt
Filed under: uncultured bacterium
Lineage: Bacteria
Also listed under: 1 other name
Description: partial 16S ribosomal RNA
Rfam family: Bacterial small subunit ribosomal RNA
Source: RNAcentral
GUCCACGCCGUAAACGAUGUCUACUAGUCGUUGGGUCCCUUGAGGACUUAGUGACGCAGCUAACGCAAUAAGUAGACCGCCUGGGGAGUACGGCCGCAAGGUUAAAACUCAAAUGAAUUGACGGGGGCCCGCACAAGCGGUGGAGCAUGUGGUUUAAUUCGAUGCAACGCGAAGAACCUUACCUGGUCUUGACAUAUCUAGAAUCCUGCAGAGAUGCGGGAGUGCCUUCGGGAAUUAGAAUACAGGUGCUGCAUGGCU